Molecule: long non-coding RNA, 894 nt
Filed under: Homo sapiens (human)
Lineage: Eukaryota; Metazoa; Chordata; Mammalia; Primates; Hominidae
Description: non-protein coding lnc-COPZ2-1:6
Source: RNAcentral
CCCCUCGGCCGCGCCUUCGCGGCGGGCGAUGUUAGUGGGCUUGGGCGUUGGGUGAAGUAUCCAGGUUGGGCGCUUCCAGCGCUUUCUGUGGCGGGGGAAUGAAGGCCUAGGUCAGGGAAUAGGAAGGUGUAUCGCCGCCAGAGUGCGGAACACCCUCGCCUUGAGGGUUCCCACAGUGACUUGCAAAAGUCUAGUGAGACCCGAGAAUGCUGAGGCGGGACACGAAGCAUGUGGUUCUUGUGGUUGCGACGCUCGUGCCGCCAUCUUGGGUGCUGGCGGCGGAAACCGGUACCCCAACUUCCCCUCGGUGCGAACCUGGAGAAGCCACCCCAGCUGUGAGGGACGGUUGCGCCUCAUGGCCCAGGCAAGGGUACCUUCGCUGGAGCAGUACCGCGGACGGAUAUCAUGAGGGUGGUGGGACGUUGGCGGAACGUUGGCGGAACGUUGGCGGUGUGAGAGGUGUGGGGUAAUGGCGAUUUUUGUCAUGGUAGAAACAGCCCAAAGGACCCCCCUCGUUUGGCCUCCCACGCAGCUUAGUCUUGCUUUUUUAGGGAUGUUUCUCAUUUUUUAAUUUCUCCAGUCCCAUCUGGUUAUAUUGCCAAAACAUGUUUGUGACUCUCAAACGUUAGUUUACUCCCAGCAUCACUUGGGGAGCUUGCUAAGCUACGAAUUCCGAGGUCCCACUGGAGAGUCUGAUUUAAUGACCCUGGAGUGGCGGCCGGAUAACCUGCCUGCUGGGGUGAUUUUAACGCAGCUGAUGCGAAGACCCCAUUUAGGGAAUCAUUGGGUUGGCGUUUGCAAUGCGUUCCUCCCAGCUAUAGGACAAAGAGGUGUCAACUCAACUGUGUCUUCUUAGAAGAGCCCAUUAUUUAUAGGCUGGACUGGAACUCCUGG